AUACGGAAGGCAGCAGUGGGGAAUCUUAGACAAUGGGCGCAAGCCUGAUCUAGCCAUGCCGCGUGAUCGAUGAAGGCCUUAGGGUUGUAAAGAUCUUUCAGUGGGGAAGAUAAUGACUGUACCCACAGAAGAAGCCCCGGCUAACUCCGUGCCAGCAGCCGCGGUAAUACGGAGGGGGCUAGCGUUGUUCGGAAUUACUGGGCGUAAAGCGCACGUAGGCGGACCGGAAAGUCAGAGGUGAAAUCCCAGAGCUCAACUUUGGAACUGCCUUUGAAACUCCUGGUCUUGAGGUCGAGAGAGGUGAGUGGAAUUCCGAGUGUAGAGGUGAAAUUCGUAGAUAUUCGGAGGAGCACCAGAGGCGAAGGCGGCUCACUGGCUCGAUACUGACGCUGAGGUGCGAAAGCGUGGGGAGCAAACAGGAUUAGAUACCCCGGUA
This 436-nucleotide ribosomal RNA is filed under the name uncultured bacterium. RNAcentral describes it as "bacterial SSU rRNA". It matches the Rfam family "Bacterial small subunit ribosomal RNA", at positions 339 to 792 of the family's 1533-position model. The record is from RNAcentral.